UAAUGCACGCACCUGCAGUGAUUUCAUCCACAUUUCCUUCAUUUGCAGGUGCUGCAGGCCCGAGACUCUUUACCAUACACCAGAUUGAUGCCUGCACUAAUAACCUGCCGAAAGCCCACACUUGCUUCAAUCGAAUAGACAUUCCACCCUAUGAAAGCUAUGAAAAGCUAUAUGAAAAGCUGCUAACAGCCAUUGAAGAAACAUGUGGAUUUGCUGUGGAAUGACAAGCUUCAAGGAUUUACCCAGGACUCUAUUUAUACAACCCUGGCUGACAGCCUCCUUUCAGCAGAGUUUCAAAGAAUAUGCUGAAAUACAGGAAAACACCCCCCCCCCCUUUUUUUUUUUUUUUUUUUUUUUACAUUUUAGGACACUGUGAGGGGAAAGGACAAUUUUGAAAUUCCUUUUCAAGGAAAAAAAAGGUCUUUAUGCUUUGCCAUGAGGCCACAUUCAGCUGCUAUUUAAACUUAAUAUCUUGAACCUAAAGAAUGCUGACUUUUCCUACAUUUCCAGAGUUAGGCAGUAUUCUACACUUAAAGACUACUACUAUUUUUAUAAAAGGUAAUCUAUUCAAAUUGCUUCACAGAUUUCAAGUCUCUCAAACAUCAAGACAACUUCAGCAGUCGGUACAAGUCACAUUUCAUUUUGAUUGAACACCUGAUCUUGAACAGCUCCUGUACUUGCUCUUUGUAAAAAAAAUAAAAUUAUUUUGAAUUAUUCUACCUUUGUAAACAAUUGGC
Molecule: long non-coding RNA, 737 nt
Filed under: Pan troglodytes (chimpanzee)
Lineage: Eukaryota; Metazoa; Chordata; Mammalia; Primates; Hominidae
Description: long non-coding RNA NONPTRT007305
Source: RNAcentral